This 1424-nucleotide long non-coding RNA is filed under the name Brassica napus (rape). RNAcentral's name for it is "long non-coding RNA (BNAP_LNC004826)". The record is from RNAcentral. Lineage: Eukaryota; Viridiplantae; Streptophyta; Magnoliopsida; Brassicales; Brassicaceae.
UAUGUAUACAUAUAUUCCGCAUUCAUUGUAAUGGUUGUAACUUGUAAACUACACUAACCUCUCUUGGUAUGGGAUAUUCCUCAGACUCUAGCAUACGCACAACUUGGCUCAUUUUAGGUCUCUUUUCAGAGUCAGGAUCAAUGCAUCUAAGUGCUGUAAGAAGAACACGUUUCAACGCUCUUGUCGCUGGCUUAACGGCUAUGUUUGGAUCAAUGACUUCUUCCAGUCUCUUAGUUCCUACCAUCAUCUUCAACCACUCAACUAGAUUCACCUACAAAAAGAAUGUAUAUGAGUCUCAAAAUUAUCAAACACAUUCAUCUCUCAAUAGUCUAUUUACCUCACUAGCAGGACGUGCAUAGUCCACAGGAUCCCUUCCGGUUAUUGCUUCUAAGAUCAAGACACCGAAGCUGUACACAUCACUCUUCUCAUUCAGAAGUCCUGUAUUCGCGUAUUCUGGAGCAACAUACCCAAAUGUUCCCAUCACUCUAGUGGUCACAUGACUUUUCCCAUCUCCAAGCAACUUGGCAAGGCCAAAAUCUGAAACCUUUGCGUUGAAUCUAUCGUCAAGCAAUAUGUUGCUUGACUUGAUGUCUCUGUGGACUACUUUUGGCUCGAUUGCCUCGUGUAGAUACGCAAGACUGCACAGUAGAUAAAACCAUUACUCUAAGCAGAACGUAUAAGAAAACUUAAAAAAUUAAUGAAAAUGUUAUGCUUACGCCUUGGAUGUGCAUGUGAGAACUUUCAUUCUUGCCUCCCAAGAUAUUCAAGUCUAAACAAAGGUUAGUCUACAAAUAAGAUUUCAAAGUGAAUAGUGCUUAGACUUUUGUGUGGUAGAGAAACACUCGCUGUACACACCAAACUAUUAAUACUGAUAUGUAAGUUUCAGUACAAAUCCAGUUCCAUAUACAAGCAUGUGAGUAUAUAUGUUACAUAUCACACGUAUCUAUAUAUAUAUCCCUCUCUACCAUCUGUUCUUUCAAAAGCAAACCCGGAAGAAACAAAACAAGUAGAAUCUCAAACACAAGAACAAGAAAGUGCACAAGAAGCAACAACUUCCAAAGAACAGAGAAUAAGCCACACCAGCAAAGAUCUCUGAUUACUGAAGCCUCUUGCUCUGUGUUCUUGAAGCCGGUGUGCUUCUAUCAGUAUCCGAGUUUUCCUCUUGCGCUCUACGCCCUCUCCGAUCCUGUUAAGUUAAAUACUUGCUUAUGUAUACAUAUAUUCCGCAUUCAUUGUAAUGGUUGUAACUUGUAAACUACACUAACCUCUCUUGGUAUGGGAUAUUCCUCAGACUCUAGCAUACGCACAACUUGGCUCAUUUUAGGUCUCUUUUCAGAGUCAGGAUCAAUGCAUCUAAGUGCUGUAAGAAGAACACGUUUCAACGCUCUUGUCGCUGGCUUAACGGCUAUGUUUGGAUCAAUGAC